AUGGUCAAGCUACAAAGGGCACAGAGUGAAUGCCUUGGCACCAGGAGCCGAAGAAAGACGUGAUAAGCUGCGAAAAGCUGCGGGGAGCUGCAAAUAAGCUAUGAUCCGCAGAUAUCUGAAUGGAGCAAUCCGGCGGAUGUAACGGUCCGUCAUGGCGUACUGAAUUCAUAGGUACGUCAGGGGAACCGCCUGAACUGAAACAUCUAAGUAGGGCGAGGAAGAGAAAUCAACAGAGAUUCCGCAAGUAGUGGCGAGCGAACGCGGAAGAGGGCAAACCGGGAUCAGAAAUGAUGCCGGGGUUGAGGACUGCAUUUAGCAUUGAGGUAACCUAGAAGAACUGCAUGGGAAGGCAGGCCGAAGAGUGUGAGAGCCACGUAUUCGAAAGGUGAAGACAGCGAGCAGUAUCCAGAGUACCGCGGGACACGUGAAACCCCGUGGGAAGCCGGGGGGACCACCCUCCAACCCUAAAUACUCCCUGGUGACCGAUAGAGCAGAGUACUGUGAAGGAAAGGUGAAAAGGACCCCGGGAGGGGAGUGAAAGAGAACCUGAAACUCUGCGCCUACAAGCACAUAGAGCACGUCAAAGUGUGAUAUGGUACCUUUUGUAGAAUGGUCCGGCGAGCGUACGCAUGUAGCAAGGUUAAGCACUUCAGGUGCGGAGCCGAAGGGAAACCGAGUCUGAAUAGGGCGAGUGAGUUUCAUGCGUAGGGCCCGAAACCGGGUGACCUAUCCAUGUCCAGGUUGAAGUGGGAGUAAAAUCCCAUGGAGGACCGAACCGACCUCCGUUGAAAAGGCGGCGGAUGAGGUGUGGAUAGCGGAGAAAUUCCAAUCGAACCCGGAGAUAGCUGGUUCUCCCCGAAAUAGCUUUAGGGCUAGCGUUGUAUUAGAUUACCGGAGGUAAAGCACUGAAUAGGCUAGGGGCCGAGAGGUUACUGAACCUUAUCAAACUCUGAAUGCCGGAUAAUUGAUGUACAGCAGUCAGACUACGUGAGAUAAGUCUCGUGGUCAAAAGGGAAAAAGCCCAGACCCACAGCUAAGGUCCCAAAUACACGUUAAGUGGAGAAGGAUGUGGAGUUGCGAAGACAACCAGGAUGUUGGCUUAGAAGCAGCCACUCAUUUAAAGAGUGCGUAAUAGCUCACUGGUCGAGUGACUCUGCGCCGAAAAUGUAACGGGGCUAAACGUGUAACCGAAGCUUGGGAUUCCGCAAGGAAUGGUAGGGGAGCGUCGUAUAUGGGGUGAAGUAUGAGCGUAAGCGCAUGUGGACUGUAUACGAGUGAGAAUGCCGGAAUGAGUAGCGAGAAUUAUGUGAGAAUCAUAAUGGCCGAAAGUCUAAGGUUUCUGGAGGAAGGUUCGUCCGCUCCAGGUUAGCCGGGAGCUAAGGUGAGGCCGAAAGGCGUAGCCGAUGCACAUACGGUAGAGAUUCCGUAGCUGCCGAAAGAUUUAAGCAGGAGGACACUGUAGAAGGGUAUGACCCGGGCGUUGGUUGCCCCGGGCGAAAGGGACCGAAACAUAGUAGGGAAGCAUACUUGGAUACAGGCGAGAAAAGCCCUGUGGAUAUCUCAGGCACCCGUACCGCAAACCGACACAGGUAGACAGGAAGAGGAUUCUAAGGCCAACGGGAGAAGGGUUGUUAAGGAACUCGGCAAGUUGACCCCGUAACUUAGGGAAAAGGGGUGCUCACGAGAGUGAGCCGCAGAGAAUAGGUCCAGGCGACUGUUUAGCAAAAACACAGCUCUAUGCUAAAUCGAAAGAUGACGUAUAUGGGGUGACACCUGCCCGGUGCCGGAAGGUUAAGAGGAGGAGUGAGAGCUCUGAAUUGAAGCCCCGGUAAACGGCGGCCGUAACUAUAACGGUCCUAAGGUAGCGAAAUUCCUUGUCAGGUAAGUUCUGACCCGCACGAAUGGUGUAACGAUCUGGACACUGUCUCAACAGCCCGCCCGGCGAAAUUGUAGUACCGGUGAAGAUGCCGGUUACCCGCGACAAGACGGAAAGACCCCAUGGAGCUUUACUGUAGCUUAAUAUUGGAUUUCGGUAUUUCAUGUACAGGAUAGGUGGGAGGCAGAGAAGCGAAUACGCCAGUAUUCGUGGAGCCGACGUUGGGAUACCACUCUUGAGGUACUGGAAUUCUAACCUGCGGCCGUGAAACCGGUCGGGGGACAUUGUUAGGUGGGCAGUUUGACUGGGGCGGUCGCCUCCAAAAAGGUAACGGAGGCGCUCAAAGGUUCGCUCAGCAUGGACGGAAACCAUGCCUUUGAGUGUAAACGCAAAAGCGAGCCUAACUGCGAGAGGGACGUCUCGAGCAGUAACGAAAGUUGGAGUUAGUGAUCCGGUGGUAUGUGAGUGGAAAUGCCAUCGCUCAACGGAUAAAAGCUACCCUGGGGAUAACAGGCUGAUCUCCCCCAAGAGUCCACAUCGUCGGGGAGGUUUGGCACCUCGAUGUCGGCUCAUCGCAUCCUGGGGCUGAAUUCGGUCCCAAGGGUUUGGCUGUUCGCCAAUUAAAGCGGUACGCGAGCUGGGUUCAGAACGUCGUGAGACAGUUCGGUCCCUAUCUGUCGUGGGCGCAGGAUAUUUGAGAGGAGCUGUCCCUAGUACGAGAGGACCGGGAUGGACGCACCUCUGGUGCACCAGUUGUCUUGCCAAAGGCAUAGCUGGGCAGCUAAGUGCGGAUCGGAUAAACGCUGAAGGCAUCUAAGCGUGAAGCCGGCCUCAAGAUAAGAUAUGCCACUGCAUAAGCAGGUAAGACCCCUUGAAGACUACAAGGUAGAUAGGCCACAUGUGGAAGCGUCGUGAGGCGUGCAGCAAGGUGGUACUAAUCGGUCGAGGGCUUGACCAAG
RNAcentral lists this ribosomal RNA (2835 nucleotides) under Anaerotruncus sp. 1XD22-93. RNAcentral describes it as "bacterial LSU rRNA". It matches the Rfam family "Bacterial large subunit ribosomal RNA". RNAcentral also lists the same sequence under 1 other name. Lineage: Bacteria; Bacillati; Bacillota; Clostridia; Eubacteriales; Oscillospiraceae. The record is from RNAcentral.